GCCCGGGUGGCGAAAUUGGUAGACGCAAGGGACUUAAAAUCCCUCGGGGUUCACCCCCCGUGCCGGUUCGAGUCCGGCCCCGGGCACCA
RNAcentral lists this transfer RNA (89 nucleotides) under marine bacterium B5-7. Its description in RNAcentral is "tRNA-Leu". It matches the Rfam family "tRNA". Rfam says of the family: Transfer RNA (tRNA) molecules are approximately 80 nucleotides in length. Their secondary structure includes four short double-helical elements and three loops (D, anti-codon, and T loops). Lineage: Bacteria; Pseudomonadati; Pseudomonadota; Gammaproteobacteria. The record is from RNAcentral.